CUAACUGUAUUGUAUUAUUUUGAAGAUCAAAGUAAAGCAUCUGUUCUUAUCAGCUUAAUUUCUGGUAUGAAUCCCAAGUGGAUUCGUUAAGAAAUUUGCAUAAGUUUUUGAAAAACUAGAU
Molecule: small nuclear RNA, 121 nt
Filed under: Trichinella britovi
Lineage: Eukaryota; Metazoa; Nematoda; Enoplea; Trichinellida; Trichinellidae
Description: U2 spliceosomal RNA
Rfam family: U2 spliceosomal RNA
About the family: U2 is a small nuclear RNA (snRNA) component of the spliceosome (involved in pre-mRNA splicing). Complementary binding between U2 snRNA (in an area lying towards the 5' end but 3' to hairpin I) and the branchpoint sequence (BPS) of the intron results the bulging out of an unpaired adenosine, on the BPS, which initiates a nucleophilic attack at the intronic 5' splice site, thus starting the first of two transesterification reactions that mediate splicing.
Source: Rfam by way of RNAcentral